This 9075-nucleotide long non-coding RNA is filed under the name Elaeis guineensis (African oil palm). Its description in RNAcentral is "long non-coding RNA (EGUI_LNC000802)". Lineage: Eukaryota; Viridiplantae; Streptophyta; Magnoliopsida; Arecales; Arecaceae. The record is from RNAcentral.
AUUUCUCGUUCGAGCUUUCACCAUCGUAUGCCCAUGCUCCUUACAUGGUAUUUUCUAUUCAUCCCCAAUAUGGUGCUCCGAUCAUCUUGCGUAGGCUCUGAAAUCAUUUUAGCAUCAAGGUUACAGAUACUAUUGCUAAUGUUAUCAAAAUAAAUGUUAUGUUCAAAACUCAUUGUAUUACUGUUCUUUCAUGGGAUGUUUUAUCCAUUUGCUGUGUUAAACUAUGCAUCUUAGUGUGGAUUCCUUUGUCUAGCGUCCUGCAUGAAGCUGAUCCAAUGGAUUGGAACAUUCAGGUUGCAGUUCAACUUGAAAAGUUUUGUGCAAGUUAUGGGAAUGAGACAGCUUGACUGGCCUGAUUGGCUGACGGUUAAUCCAAAAGAAAAGGUCAGCCACCAUCUUUAUGAACACAGGAAUAUCUUUUGGUGUGAACACAGCAUGCAUCCAGAAAUACACUAGACAAAAAGAAACAUCAGCGGCCAUUUUUUUCAUAAUAUCUUUUAAUAUUAUAACUUCAUAAAUAUGUCUGUCUGCAUAGCUGCAAAAAUAGACCUUUUUAGAAACAGUCCAACAUUAACAGUAAGCGAGAGAGAGAGAAGGCAAUCUUAAAUUUGUAAUAUAAAAAGUUUAAUCGUCAGCAUAUGGAUUCUCAAGCAAACGUGACUGCCCCCAACUGCCAUCAGACCGAUGUUUGCAUUGCGGCUGACAAGCCUUGCUCCGUUUCUACUGUCAGAAAUACUCCCAUCAAAGAUGACUUUAAAGACACUCGAGGGCGAGGACUCCCAGAUGAUAUACAUACAACAGAUCACUGCAGAAGUAGAGAUAGAACCCCAGGUGUCCCACGAUGUCAAGGUCGCACUCUUCGAAGGAAGUCUCGUAAUCCCGAUUGCCUGCAAUAAGGCUCUCUCCAAGACAAUCCUUGCAAGCUAAAACCGAUCCUCAAAAAUCCAGCUAUUCCUAACCAAUCAAAUCUGAUAAGCAAUGCAAGCCAGUCAUACACCUUUAGCUCCAGAGGAUGCCGUCAUAGUGCUUGCUAGAGGUAGUCAAGGAAGGCCUAAACCGAUGUGGCGGAUGGGUGAUCUACAGGAGCACAGUGAUCAAUCCCCACACCUAGCUGGCCCACUGGCAUCUGAAGAGAACAUGCUUGAUUGACUUCACGUCGGAGCCACGUAAUAGGCACAUCAGGAAGAUAUCCAUCCCACGAUCACUGAGCACCUCUCUCGUAAGUAACUGACCCCAUGCUACCUUCCAAAUAAACAGACUAACCCCAAGGUGGACCCCCAGCCUCCAAAUUCAUGUCGCAUCCAACCUCCUGAUGGACUCCCUACUCUAAAGAUAAUAAAGAUCUCUGACUGGAGCCAUCGCACCAUAGAAAUCCCUCCAAACCUUCAUAUCUAGGCAAGCCUAAGUGGGGAUAGCUAAAGAUAAAACUCUCCCUGCUAGCUGAUGAUCACCAAACAGGCGGCCAACCCGAUUAACGUCCCAUCACCUCUCUCCUGGCCGAAACAAAUCACGAACCGUCAUACCCUCUAUCAUCUCGGUGCUGACUAUCGUUGACCACCCACAGCGAAAUGUCUACCAACCAAGCAUCACGAACUACGUUUGUGCUCCCGUCCCCAAUCAUCCAUUUGGUGUGAGCUAACACCUUCGCAACAUGUCCACAAAUUUUCUUUCAUAGGAAUGAAGUCCUCCCAACACGGAUGUCCGUACAUCAAUCCACAUGUCAUACUUCACCCUCUUUAGAGUGCUCUAGAUGCUCCUUGGCUCCAAUAAGAAUCUCGCAACAUGCCUGGCUAUCAUGGACUCGCGCCGAACCAACAACGACUGAAUACCCAAUCCCCUCUUACAAGUCGGUUGGCAAAUCAUAUCCCUCAACAAUAGAUGCACACCACUCCCACCUCCAUAGAAGCCCCACAAAACCUCCUAAACAUCCACUCCAAAUUGAGAAGGAAAGUCUUCAGAAGUAUGGUGCUAGAUAGGAGAUAAACAAGCACCGAACUAAGUACAUAUCUAUUAUGAUACUCAUGAAUUUAAAAUGCUUCUCAUCUUAGAUACCUAAAAAUUAAUCAUGUUAUUUAAAAGAAAGGUAAAACUUCAGCUCUAUGAAAUUUGAAUGUGAAAGAGGAUGCAACUAUGACACUCUUUAAAUACUAAAUAUUUUUAAGAAACUUCAAUCUGAGAUUACUCUCAUGAUGCUUAUCAAAUUAGUAAUAUUUCAGCCUUGAGAAACUUUUAACUCUUGAAUAUCAAUUAUGAUAGUCACGACUCUAAUAAGCUUAUUUUAGAAAGCCAUGAGCUAAUUCAAUUAGCCUUGAAUGUUUCCAGACAUUAAGAAACCUCAAUAUAAAGUAGUAAGGUUUCAAUCUUUAAGAAACUUUAAUCUGAAGGUAUUGAUCAUGAUAGCAUCAAACAUGAUACUCCUGCAUAAGAAGUUUCAGCACAUUGAACUCAUUUGAAGAAUCAGUCAUGGUAUUCAUUCAAUCAACAAAAUUUAAACUAAGAUGUUCGUGGAUUAAAAUUUCAGCUUAUGAAGUCAUGUGGGAUGAAAAAAAAAAGAAAAGAAAUGGUAAACAUGGUAUUCCUUUAAUUGAGGGAACUUCAACUUUAUAUAAUUCUAACAAACAACUGUUGAUUACAAUAUUAAGUUAAAACAAUCUAAUAUCUCAAACCAACUAUUGAGAAAAUAAGAGCAUCACUUUGUCAUACCACCCACUAUCACCAUCUCACAUGCACAAACAUGCUAAAAGGUACUAGUUGUGUAUAUUGGGCAUCUGUAUGCAUAAGUGGGUGCCCAUACAGGAGUGAAAUAUUUUAGAAAAUGUGCCCUGACAUGAAAGUAAUAAAUGAAGCAUUGAUAAAAACACCACCAUCUCGUAAGAAAUAUUUCGGCAAAUCAAAUUGACCAACUUAUGAUAUGGGGAAAAUGCUUUAGACACAUAAAGCCACAUAUACAAAGUUAAUAUUGGUAGCUUAUAGACUUUGGCAUGUAAAGAAAUUCCUUUUCAAAGGAUGUUAAGAGUUCUAGGUAAUAGGACCAAAAUACUGCAAAAUUUCUUGGAAUUUUCAUCUUAAGAAACUAAUGUCCAUGUUAAUUUUCACUAGUAGUAGUCAUAAGGAAUCAAACAUAUGAAAGCCACCAACAUGUUCAAUGAUGAAACCCAUCAUCCCUAUAAACAUUGCCAACUUAAAAAGCUGACAUAUUACCCAACCCUUUAAGAUGCAUGUGGUCCAAGCAUAGCUUAGCUAAGAAUAAUGUAAAAGAUUAUGACUACAUAUCAUAAAAAAAAUAUGCGACUGGUCGCAAUUAAACAAGUAUACACACACACACACACACNNNNNNNNNNNNNNNNNNNNAAUUUGAUGAGAGAACAUUUGGAUAAAAAAAAAUAGCUAUUACCCAAUGAGUUGCCGAGCAGUUGUUUUUCCAGACAUACAACAAAGUAGCCUCUGCAAAUUAAUUAGCAGUCCAACUUAAAAUACCUGUUAACAUAGUGUUGGAGCCACCAUAAAAACACCAAAUCUUAGUAGCUAUAGCAUCUUUAGUCUUAGGGUUUAGAUAGUUGGUCCCCUGGUAAGAAAACAACUCUUAAGAAAUAUGAAUAAGUCUUGCUUGAUCAAAAACACACAAACUGAGGAAACCAUUGAUGUUCAAGAAGCAAUAAGUACUUUGUUACCACCACGCAAUAAAUAAAAAAAUAGAAUGGAAGGGCAUUAUACCCGCCUAUUAGAAGGAAAAAAUGCAAAGACAACAUAUAUUUUUUUAACAAAUGCAAUAUAUGUAUUUAUGAGCCUGAAAUAAGCACAUAUACAUAGUGAGGAUAUAUUAUCAAAUAGAUAAUAUAAUUUUUUGUAAUAAAUGUUGCAGAAAAGAACAAGUGAAGUACAAACAUUGCACAUUUCAUAUUUUGAAGGAGAAUGUGUAAGAAAAGAUUUUUUUUUCACAAGCUACAAAAAGAGAAAUAUGUUUAAGCUUACCAUGCCAACUUAAAUACAAACUUUGCACAUUAUCAUAUUUUAAAGGAGAACGUGUAACAAAGGAUUUUUUUUUUCUCCCUCAAGAUAAAAGAGAGAAAUAUGUUUUAGCUUACAAUGCCAACUAACUCAGCACACUGGCAUUGCAAUUACACAAUCAUAUUGGCCUUCUGUUUUGUUUUCCUCCAUAUUGUCAAUCUGAGUUUAGCUUAAUGAUAUGCAUUUCUAUAUUUGCUAUCUUUGAUCUGCAAUAAAUCACAUGCAUUUAUCACCUUUUCUCAUGCUUGUGGUAAGUAUUUACACCCUUUAUAUCAUUGUUAAUAUAACCAACAACAAAAUAACCAAGUACUUGCCUUGUAAUUACUUAUGUCUCAUGACAUCUGACAAUCCCAAAAUACACAAGAAUACUCACUUCAUCUAGCUCAGUCUUACUGAAAAUGUUUUCGGAACUCCUCUAGUACUAUGUACAGGACAAGCUGACAAAACCAACCAUUCUAUGGUUUCUUGAAGCCUGGUAUUUUUAAUGAAAGUGCAUUCAAAUGAUUUCUUUAGUUCCUUAGUAACACCCAUUUGAAUUCUUGUGCCAUCAAUCAGCACCACAAAACAAUGAGCAUACAUCAUCAUGUUUCCUACGAGGUUUUAAAAUGAUGGAGGCAUCACAUGCGCAGCCUGGAGUUGGUCAGCAUACAUAGGCAUGCAAGAUGGGUGCCUGACCACAGCCACCGCUGCACCAAUGGCUACAGCAGAACCACCAACACCGGUUGCGCUGCAGGCACAACUAGCAGUCCACUCUACUUAACAUGAAAGAUGCACAAACAAAGAGUUACAUAUACAUCAAUGGAAAACCUCCCUUGUUCAAUUCUUACCAAGUUACCUGGAGGCCCAUCCAUCAUAUUACCUUUUCCAUUUUUGUUGUCGUAUGUAGGCCUCUCCCUUAGAUGCCUAUAAAGUGACUCAGGACCCAAUAAACAUGGCCUUCAUAGUCAGUCUCUCUUUUCUGGAAAAAAAGAACAUAAUUAAUGAACCAACCUAGUUGCUCUCAUAAACUCCCAUGAUUAUGUUGGUGAUUGUAGUGAACAUCUCACCCUUCUACACCCUCUUCAACAGCUCCUUAUUGAUUGGAUCAAUAUGACAAACACAUUUAUUAUUAUCUUAAAUGUAUUAUUCAAAAAGAAUCCUUAUUCACUCAACUUUUAAGCAUACUCGCCAAUUCUCAACUCACUACAUUUCACUUUAAUUGCAUUAUAAUCACUCUAAUGGGUUUUAUUGGCAUGUAUAUAUUCCUACUCUACCUUUCCCUUUCCAUUAAUAUUUUCGAACCUUUUCUCAAGCAUAAUCUAUUUCCGGGAUUUUUCUAAGACAUAAAGUUAGACUUAUAAAGUUAACUGACUUCUUGCAUUACUUUUUGUCAUUCACUAAACUAAGAUAUUUUUAUCAAUAUUUUUCCGAUUGUAGAAUUUAUUAUACCAAUAUCCCUAUUAGUAGUUUCAAAUAACUUUUCAUGAACCAUCUAUGGGACCAUUUUUUCACCACCAAUUUUCCAUGCCAAUAUGUCUUCAAACUAUAACAUGAGCAAUGUUUCUUAAUUUCUUAUCAUCAUAGUAACUUCUCAAAAUCCAUACCAUGUUUGCUUGCUACGUAACUUCAACUUUACCUCUUUUAAAUUAAUGCACUGCCCGCCGUUGAAGGUCACCACCACUAAGACCCUAUUUGGGAUUACUGUUGGCAGUAGAGCUUUUGAAGCUUUUGAGAAACAGAAUUUUUGAAAGUAGAGCUUUUACAAAAAGCUAUUUGCUAUUUGAUAACCAUAUUAAUAAAGCGCUUUGAGGAAAGCAAAAUAGCUUCUCGAUAUUAGCCAAAAAGUACUUUUGGGGACAGCUUCAAAAUACAGCUUUUCCCAAAUAGAUCUUUUUAGCUUUCUAGCAAAGUCAAAACAGCUUUCCGACAUUUUUAUCAAACAUCGCUGUAUCACUGCAAAGUACUUUCUGAGAGCCAGAAAGUGCUUUCUGGCACUCUAAAAGCUUAGCCAAAUAAGGCCUAAGACAACUACUUGUUCCAUCUUCACACAACCAAUACAUGCAAGCAUCUUAAUCAUUUUAAAAUUUAACAAGGUAAAUUCUUAAUUUGUGUCCCAGCUAAUCCACUCCCACAAUAUAUUAAAUGGUCAUUUAUGUUCUUCAAAUAUGUAUCCACCAAUAUUGCAUAAUGGGUCUCAUUGUAAAAUCAUUUAUUAUGUUCCUCAUUACUUCUGUAGCUUUACAUUUGCAUCUCUACCAUCUUUCCCUGCAAAGAUAUUCAAGUUUUACCAAUAAAAAUCAUUCUCUUUCAUUCAAACAUACAUCUAGACAAACAAUAAUUUUCACUAUGGCAUACAAAACAUAUGUUCUGCAUAUGCAUUUACCCAACAAUUACAAAUUUAGCUAAUGAGUGACCAUGGCAAAUCAUUUAACUUAUUAACAGAAUUGGACAACGACCUUAAAUCAUAAUAGGCAUCUGCAUAUGAAACAAACACUAAGCAUACAAAGUUUUAGAACAGCAUUAAACUAAGGCCUUGUAUAAUGGUAGAAUCAAACAUGCAAAAUUGCAACAGUAUUAUUAAUAACUAUUAUAAGAUGGAUUUGGAUUUCAAUAAAUCUAUUGUUCAAUGAACUUGUGGAGGAAAGGCGUACUAAGUUAUUGAAAGUUUUCAAGCGCUCUUCAUUCAGCACUUGAAAUAGUUGAUAAUUAAAGAGCUCUUACUUGCUUUAAAAUGUUUAAAUAUAACACUCCAAGUGUCAGCAACUUAGCCAAAACAAGCAUGACAUACACAUGAGGGGGUAGUACAUAUUCUGGUGUCACAUCCAAGUGUCAGAAGUUUCAAAGGUCCAGUGCCAUAAAACUUCAACUCUGAAAAUCUUUAGACCUUUUAAAGUGCAGAUCAGAAGCUCCAGUCAAAUUGAUACAAACACAUAAUCAUUUUAUGUGGUAAAAUCAUUAUCUAUAUCAAAGAAUCUAUAUAUCUUACAUUUUUUCAAAAAUAAUUAUGUAUCUGAACUUAAAUUAGGCAUAUUGCUACUUAUAAAUCUGAAACUACUUUUAAAAUCUCAUGAGAUUCUUGGAUGCAUUAGUCUUACAUUAGAAUAAAAAAAACUGGAUAUAUACAUGAUUGUAGUGGCCGCAAGCAUAGAGCUGAUAAGCAAUCUAGCCAUGAUAGGAAGUAAAAGGGGAUAAGAACCAUAUAAAAGAAGAUUAAGUCAAUGCUGCAAAUAGUGAAAGCAAAGUUUGUAAGAAGAAUGUACUCAUUGUGCCUCCUAGACUUGGUUAAUAAAAACGAUUCACCAAUCAAACAUAAAGCUCACAUGGUGUGGUUCAUACUGUAACAUCUCAGAAUUCAUCAAUAAGUAUAUCUUUUCCCUCACAAAACUCAUAGUGAUUCUAAUAUCAACAACAUAUGGCAAGAUUAAAACAUUGCAUGUAUCGGAACUCAUACUACAAUAAUAUAAUCUCUUUGAUAAUGCAUCUACAUCAAAGAAAAUGAAGCAGUAAGCAAUGUAACAUCCAACAAAGCAAAAAUGGCAGGUGUUGGGGGUAAAGUUAUAAGAUUUUAUCAAUAUAAAAUUGUAAUGAAAUCUUUGAUAAGACUUAUCUUAUCACAGUCACUGAACUUAACUAUUAGAACCCUUCCAGCAAAUUUCAACUUAUUAGCAAGUAGCAACCGCUGAGCAAGCACUUGGCCAUGAACCCAUACAUAUGCAAUAAUUGAUAAUCAAAGAAUUGGCAGAUGCCGGUAAUUUCUGAUUAAAAAGGAUAAGUUGAAAUGAAUAAGGGAUAUUUAUUGUCUAAAGAUUAUUUAGAGGUUAAAAAAUGAACUUGUGAUGUUCCAACUUUUCAACCAUACAAGCACUAAGAUGGAAAACAGGCAGACUGAGAAUGUGAGUUACAAACAUUAAAAAAGUUCUUUUAGAUACGAUCUUGAAUAUGGCAACAUCAAAGACUAAGAGGAAUCAAAUAAUUCCAAACAUAUGGGUCAAAGUUGGGAAACCCUACACAUUUCAAGAAAACCCAAAAGAAAUCAUCAGAAAGAUGCUACCUGUAAGAUGCCUACAUCAAGACUUAUAGGACAUACAGUAACCACAGGCAUCUGAGUCAAUGUCAGGAAAUUGGAUAAAUUUCCAGAAAAUGCAAAAGAAAUCAUCAUAAAGAUACUAGUUUUAAGAUAACGACAUCAAUGACUUAUAGGACUCACGUAAUUGCAACAUCCGUAUCAAAGCCAGGCAAUCAUAGAAAUUUCAAGAAAACCCAAUAGGAAUCAUCAGAAAGAUAAGCAACAUCAAUGACUUAUAGACUCACGCAACUGCAAGCAUCUGUAUCAAAGUUAGGAAAUCAUAGAGAACCCAAAAGAAAUCAUCAGAAAGAUACUGGCUCUAAGAUGGCAACAACAUUGACUUGUAGGACCGAACUAAUUGCAAACGAUUGUGUCAUGUAAGGAAAUCAAAGAAAUUUCAAGAACCCAAAGAAAUUAUCAAAGAUGCCUGAUUCUUUGAGAUGAGAAAAUCAAUGAUUCAUAGUAUAACACUAAGUAUGUCCACAUACCAACACGUCAAUAGAACUUCCUUGACCUCAGUUCGACGAUCAAGAAGCCAUCAAACGAAAAAGCAUCCAAUUCAACGAUCAAGAAAAUGAAAGAAAGCCAACUGUGGUGCGACAGGAUUACAACGAAGGGGAAUGAGAAAAAGGUAAAGAAACGAGGAGAGGGCAAAUUAAAUUAAAUUUUAAUGGAUAAUUACAGUUUCGUGCGGAAGAAUAAACCAAAUUCCGCAGAAAUUCUUGGCAAAAGGGAGAAGAAACUUCUUGAAAAGCAAAAAAAAAAGAGACUAUAAUCAGUAAAUAAAUAAAUUCUGCUCGAAUAAAACCCUAGAUAUCUUACCGCAUUGGGGGAAGAGGGACCAAGAGGGGAACAUGAGCUCUCGUCACCGAUCAAAGCCACCGAACAGGAAACGGCACCUUCGUCGUGUUGCCACCGGAAGACGUCGGAGAGGAGACGACACUUUCGUCAAUCAAAGACGCCGGAGGGGAGAGACGCCGCCUUCGCCGCGAAUCAAGAGAGUAUGGAGUCGCUGGUCUAGC